GACGAACGCUGGCGGCGUGCCUAAUACAUGCAAGUCGAACGAGAGCGACCGGUGCUUGCACUGCUCAAUCUAGUGGCGAACGGGUGAGUAACACGUGGGUAACCUGCCCAUCAGAGGGGGAUAACAUUCGGAAACGGAUGCUAAAACCGCAUAGGUCUUCGAACCGCAUGGUUUGAAGAGGAAAAGAGGCGCAAGCUUCUGCUGAUGGAUGGACCCGCGGUGCAUUAGCUAGUUGGUGAGGUAACGGCUCACCAAGGCCGUGAUGCAUAGCCGACCUGAGAGGGUGAUCGGCCACAUUGGAACUGAGACACGGCCCAAACUCCUACGGGAGGCAGCAGUAGGGAAUCUUCCGCAAUGGGCGCAAGUCUGACGGAGCAACGCCGCGUGAGUGAAGAAGGUUCUCGGAUCGUAAAACUCUGUUGUUAGGGAAGAAUAAGUGCUAGAGUAACUGUUAGCGCCUUGACGGUAUCUAACCAGAAAGCCACGGCUAACUACGUG
This 498-nucleotide ribosomal RNA is filed under the name uncultured bacterium. RNAcentral's name for it is "partial 16S ribosomal RNA". It matches the Rfam family "Bacterial small subunit ribosomal RNA", at positions 28 to 507 of the family's 1533-position model. The record is from RNAcentral.